GGAAGGCAAGAAGGCGGUUGAGGCAGGCAGUGUCGAGGGCGCUAAGGCGCUGCUGGGGGUGGGUGGUGAGCAACGAAGGGAGGCGACCACCACCUCCGCCGCCUCGUCGAAGGGCGUGAGCAACAAGCAAGUUUCGGACCAGUCAGUUCCACGGGCUGGUGGAGUCCUUGUUCGGCGUGUCCUGCUCACCCCCCGGCAGCCCAUCAGCGCGCUGCGGAUUUAUCGAGGCGAGCCGCGCGAGGCGCAGCAGAGCUCUCCGUUAUCAGCAGAGUGACGUCACCAGCGCGUCACCAGCGUCACGGAGCCGCCGUGCAUAAAGAGCAAGGGAAGCACCAACGGCGGGGCUGACGCACCAACACCAGCAGCUCCGGGGGCUCCGGGGUUGAACUUGCAGCUCGGCGGCGCAAGUGGCGUGGCGUGGCAUUAUGCAGAGCACCCCCCGGCCCCUUUCACCCUUCCCCGCCGCAACGCUAAUGAACCACGAUCCUCCACACUACAGCCCCUACAACGAGCACGGAGCACCUUCUGCGGGGGAGGAAAGGGAGGGGGCGUCACGGUGUAGAACAACGGCGAGUGCAACGAGAAUGCAGUAUCGACCGUCACAAAAAGCGGAGGUCUUUGUUCAUACAGACGACCCGAGUUCUAGAUGUAUUUUGCCAAGAGGGCAGGGAGAGAAAAGGCAACUAUGAUGACAGCUCCUAUUUCGUUUUUUGUUUGUUUGCUGUCUUUGAUGGCUGCAUAUUUCUGUUAGAGAUUUAUUUCUCACUUCAAAGAAUUAAUAAACAGUGCUUUGAGCAAAGGACAGGAAGUUAACACAUGUUUUAUAUUAUACAGGGUCGUCCACAGACCCCUUCCUUUAUUUUGCUUAUACUGUACCGGAUGCAGGCGUGCGACCGGGUUGCAUACUCGCACGGGGCCAUAAGGCGCCGUAGUGAGCGACGAUAGGCAAGCCCGCCCGCACGCCUGCAUGCGGUAAAGGAAGGGGUCUGUGGACCACCCUGUAUUGGUUGCAAUGCUCAAGCUUGUCUAAAACAUAUUUUGCAACAACAUCAAAAGAGACAUUGUUCUAAUUGAAUGUGCUCAAGAGGAACUGAAAAUUAGGUAUUUAAUAUAAAAUAAACCUUCCAGCUGAAAUACUCAUUUUAAAAAGUUGUGAAACAGCGUAAUUUUAUAAUAGUCAUUAAAAUGGAGGUAAGAGAGGGAAAUCUCUGAAGUAUAAAAUUCUUACUCCCUAUUUAGUGCUGAGAUGCGGAAAAGGAUCAAAACAAUAAACAUCAACAUUAUAACCCAGUCAGGAGUGUAUCACAAGUUCCUAGUGCAAAA
Molecule: long non-coding RNA, 1323 nt
Organism: Frankliniella occidentalis (western flower thrips)
Lineage: Eukaryota; Metazoa; Arthropoda; Insecta; Thysanoptera; Thripidae
Exons: 3
Source: RefSeq, a predicted model, not a curated record